GACGAACGCUGGCGGCGGGCUUAACACAUGCAAGUCGAAGGGAAGGGCCCUGGUUUUGUGGGGUGCUCGAGUGGGAAAGGGGUGCGUAACACGUGAGUAACCUGCCCUUGCCUUUGGGAUAACUUCAGGAAACUGGGGCUAAUACCGGAUAGGAGCUCCUGCUGCUUGGGGGGGGUGGGAAAGUUUCGGCGGUUGGGGAUGGACUCGCGGCUUAUCAGCUUGUUGGUGGGGUGGUGGCUUACCAGGGCUUUGACGGGUAGCCGGCCUGAGAGGGUGACCGGCAACCUUGGGACUGAGAUACGGCCCAGACUCGUACGGGAGGCAGCAGUGGGGAAUAUUGCACAAUGGGCGGAAGCCUGAUGCAGCAACGCCGCGUGCGGGAUUACGACCUUCGGGUUGUAAACCGCUUUCGCCUGUGACGAAGCGUGAGUGACGGUAAUGGGUAAAGAAGCACCGGCUAACUACGUG
RNAcentral lists this ribosomal RNA (468 nucleotides) under uncultured bacterium. RNAcentral describes it as "partial 16S ribosomal RNA". It matches the Rfam family "Bacterial small subunit ribosomal RNA", at positions 28 to 507 of the family's 1533-position model. The record is from RNAcentral.